CCUACGGGGGUAGCAGUGAGGAAGAGUGGUCAAGGGGCGGAAGCCGGAACCAGUCAAGUCGCGUGAGGGAAUAAGGCCCUACGGGUCGUAAACCUCUUUUGCCGGGGAGCAAGGGCCGGGACGCGUCCCGGCCCGGAGAGUACCCGGAGAAAAAGCAUCGGCUAACUCCGUGCCAGCAGCCGCGGUAAUACGGAGGAUGCGAGCGUUAUCCGGAUUUAUUGGGUUUAAAGGGUGCGUAGGCGGGCUGUUAAGUCAGCGGUAAAAAUUCGGGGCUCAACCCCGUCCGGCCGUUGAAACUGGGGGCCUUGAGUGGGCGAGAAGAAGGCGGAAUGCGUGGUGUAGCGGUGAAAUGCAUAGAUAUCACGCAGAACUCCGAUUGCGAAGGCAGCAUACCGGCGCUCAACUGACGCUCAUGCACGAAAGUGUGGGUAUCGAACAGGAUUAGAUACCCUAGUAGUC
This 459-nucleotide ribosomal RNA is filed under the name uncultured bacterium. RNAcentral's name for it is "partial 16S ribosomal RNA". It matches the Rfam family "Bacterial small subunit ribosomal RNA", at positions 338 to 795 of the family's 1533-position model. The record is from RNAcentral.